RNA transcript from Pangasianodon hypophthalmus (striped catfish), 945 nucleotides. It is a transcript of the gene named G2/M phase-specific E3 ubiquitin-protein ligase, with no coding region annotated. The transcript is spliced from 3 exons. The record is from RefSeq and is a predicted model, not a curated record. NCBI's taxonomy places the organism in Eukaryota, Metazoa, Chordata, Actinopteri, Siluriformes, Pangasiidae.
UCUAUAAUAUAAAACGGACACUGGCUGGCUACUUUUGUGGGCCAAAACAUGCUAUAGCCAUGACAUUAUUUUACUGUUAAAAUUCAGGAGUCAUCAUUUAAUGCAAGAGCAGGACUGCAUCAACUCUCAGGCAGCUCUAAUUUUCUCUAAGCCAAAAUGCGUGCCCCAAUGUUAGUUGUGUUUAACUAGAUAAACACAAAAGCAAAUGGAUUAUAUUAAAGGUAAGAUUUUUAACAGGUCUCUAAUGGUUAAAUGGGUGGCGUUGAUUAUGAUUUGAAUGAUUUUUUUUUUUAACUCACUCAGCCCGUCCCCAUUUCCAGCCAUGUACACAAAGCUCCACCCCUAAAACAUAUACUGGUUCAACUAGUUAUCAUGCUAACUAGAGUUACCAUUAGCAAAGACAGUCAUGACGUUGCUUUUCAACUAUUUGAAAGGUUGCAUUUUACCUUGUUGGCUGCCUCCUAACUGGACCUCUUCUCAGUGGAGUACUCUCCAAGAGGAAGCAGUAGGAGGGCUUUGGAAGAGGUAGCAGUUGGCCAAUGUCGGGACUUUCUGAUCGUGGUUGAGGAUGGAGAUGCAGCGGUCCAGGAAGAUGGUGGGGACCUCAUUGAAGUGACCCUGGAGGAUGUGCUGGUGUUUGCUUCUGGGGCAUCUGCCAUACCUGCUUUUGGUUUUAGGGAGACAAUCAGGUUCCUCCAUUAUGACCUGAAUGGCAUCAGGUGGAUGUUCCCAGAAGCAAACACCUCCGUCAUUACUUUGAAACUACCCAUAGGUCAUGACUAUGACGGCUUCUGUCAUUUAAUAACUUCGGGGAUCAUUCAGUCCCCGAUGUUUGGGGUAGCCCAAUGAUAUCAUUGAUAUCUUUGUAUUGAUUGUUUGUUUUGUUCAAAAUUACUUCAAAAUGUUAUUGGUUAAUGUCUAUAAACAUUUAAAUGAUGACCUAAA